Molecule: ribosomal RNA, 382 nt
Filed under: uncultured bacterium
Lineage: Bacteria
Description: bacterial SSU rRNA
Rfam family: Bacterial small subunit ribosomal RNA
Source: RNAcentral
GACGAACGCUGGCGGCGUGCUUAACACAUGCAAGUCGAACGAUGAAGCCUUCGGGUGGAUUAGUGGCGAACGGGUGAGUAACACGUGGGCAAUCUGCCCUGUACUUUGGGAUAAGCCUUGGAAACGGGGUCUAAUACCGGAUAUCACUUCUGACCGCAUGGUUGGUUGUUGAAAGUUCUGGCGGUACAGGAUGAGCCCGCGGCCUAUCAGCUUGUUGGUGGGGUAAUGGCCUACCAAGGCGACGACGGGUAGCCGGCCUGAGAGGGUGACCGGCCACACUGGGACUGAGACACGGCCCAGACUCCUACGGGAGGCAGCAGUGGGGAAUAUUGCACAAUGGCGAAAGCCUGAUGCAGCGACGCCGCGUGAGGGAUGACGGCCU